RNAcentral lists this ribosomal RNA (1686 nucleotides) under Escherichia coli. Its description in RNAcentral is "partial 23S ribosomal RNA". It matches the Rfam family "Bacterial large subunit ribosomal RNA", at positions 1252 to 2915 of the family's 2925-position model. Lineage: Bacteria; Pseudomonadati; Pseudomonadota; Gammaproteobacteria; Enterobacterales; Enterobacteriaceae. The record is from RNAcentral.
GAAGGUGUACUGUGAGGUAUGCUGGAGGUAUCAGAAGUGCGAAUGCUGACAUAAGUAACGAUAAAGCGGGUGAAAAGCCCGCUCGCCGGAAGACCAAGGGUUCCUGUCCAACGUUAAUCGGGGCAGGGUGAGUCGACCCCUAAGGCGAGGCCGAAAGGCGUAGUCGAUGGGAAACAGGUUAAUAUUCCUGUACUUGGUGUUACUGCGAAGGGGGGACGGAGAAGGCUAUGUUGGCCGGGCGACGGUUGUCCCGGUUUAAGCGUGUAGGCUGGUUUUCCAGGCAAAUCCGGAAAAUCAAGGCUGAGGCGUGAUGACGAGGCACUACGGUGCUGAAGCAACAAAUGCCCUGCUUCCAGGAAAAGCCUCUAAGCAUCAGGUAACAUCAAAUCGUACCCCAAACCGACACAGGUGGUCAGGUAGAGAAUACCAAGGCGCUUGAGAGAACUCGGGUGAAGGAACUAGGCAAAAUGGUGCCGUAACUUCGGGAGAAGGCACGCUGAUAUGUAGGUGAAGCGACUUGCUCGUGGAGCUGAAAUCAGUCGAAGAUACCAGCUGGCUGCAACUGUUUAUUAAAAACACAGCACUGUGCAAACACGAAAGUGGACGUAUACGGUGUGACGCCUGCCCGGUGCCGGAAGGUUAAUUGAUGGGGUUAGCGGUAACGCGAAGCUCUUGAUCGAAGCCCCGGUAAACGGCGGCCGUAACUAUAACGGUCCUAAGGUAGCGAAAUUCCUUGUCGGGUAAGUUCCGACCUGCACGAAUGGCGUAAUGAUGGCCAGGCUGUCUCCACCCGAGACUCAGUGAAAUUGAACUCGCUGUGAAGAUGCAGUGUACCCGCGGCAAGACGGAAAGACCCCGUGAACCUUUACUAUAGCUUGACACUGAACAUUGAGCCUUGAUGUGUAGGAUAGGUGGGAGGCUUUGAAGUGUGGACGCCAGUCUGCAUGGAGCCGACCUUGAAAUACCACCCUUUAAUGUUUGAUGUUCUAACGUUGGCCCCUGAUCGGGGUUGCGGACAGUGUCUGGUGGGUAGUUUGACUGGGGCGGUCUCCUCCUAAAGAGUAACGGAGGAGCACGAAGGUUGGCUAAUCCUGGUCGGACAUCAGGAGGUUAGUGCAAUGGCAUAAGCCAGCUUGACUGCGAGCGUGACGGCGCGAGCAGGUGCGAAAGCAGGUCAUAGUGAUCCGGUGGUUCUGAAUGGAAGGGCCAUCGCUCAACGGAUAAAAGGUACUCCGGGGAUAACAGGCUGAUACCGCCCAAGAGUUCAUAUCGACGGCGGUGUUUGGCACCUCGAUGUCGGCUCAUCACAUCCUGGGGCUGAAGUAGGUCCCAAGGGUAUGGCUGUUCGCCAUUUAAAGUGGUACGCGAGCUGGGUUUAGAACGUCGUGAGACAGUUCGGUCCCUAUCUGCCGUGGGCGCUGGAGAACUGAGGGGGGCUGCUCCUAGUACGAGAGGACCGGAGUGGACGCAUCACUGGUGUUCGGGUUGUCAUGCCAAUGGCACUGCCCGGUAGCUAAAUGCGGAAGAGAUAAGUGCUGAAAGCAUCUAAGCACGAAACUUGCCCCGAGAUGAGUUCUCCCUGAGACUUUAAGUCUCCUGAAGGAACGUUGAAGACGACGACGUUGAUAGGCCGGGUGUGUAAGCGCAGCGAUGCGUUGAGCUAACCGGUACUAAUGAACCGUGAGG